AUGACGUGUAGCAUGCCCGUUUGUGGAAUUACUCUGAUGUAUAUAAGCUAUUUUAUUUGUUUUGGGUAACGGGGUGUUACACCUUU
Medicago truncatula (barrel medic) is the source of this 86-nucleotide microRNA precursor. It matches the Rfam family "MIR2617 microRNA precursor family". The record is from Rfam. Lineage: Eukaryota; Viridiplantae; Streptophyta; Magnoliopsida; Fabales; Fabaceae.